Long non-coding RNA from Athalia rosae (coleseed sawfly), 794 nucleotides. RefSeq lists it as uncharacterized. The record is from RefSeq and is a predicted model, not a curated record. NCBI's taxonomy places the organism in Eukaryota, Metazoa, Arthropoda, Insecta, Hymenoptera, Athaliidae. The transcript is spliced from 3 exons.
AAAUUGUCAAACAUACAAAAAUCGGUCGAUUACGAGCGCUGUACGUUCGAAAAUUAGUAUACGGACUCAACGAAUUUUGUCUUUUCUUUAUUAUCAUAUCCCACUACAAUUUAAUAUGAUUUUCUUUUUAUUUGGAGGAGCGGGGGUGUGACAAGACAUGUUUGAAUAGGUUUUUGUUUGCAGUGUUUAACUCGAUUAAAUAAAAAAUUGCGUGUAUGAAAAUAACGUUAUAUUUCAGUCCCAUACGAGGUCCAAUAUCUCAUCGUCGCUCGCACCGUCUUUUUCAUUAUUUCGUUCCCUCUUCACACUGCUGUUUCAAUUGCACGUGUGUACGCACCUGCUAGCAAUUGUUGUUUUUUUCUAAAGUCGUUUUAUCGACAGGUGUUUGCGCGGUUCGUUUGCAUUCCGCGCUCGUGCGGGCAAGUUUAAAGAAAUCUUCAACAUGGUACUCGUACAGCACAAGUCUAAUUGUCAAUCCGACUUGUAUCUUUUAUAAAUUACGAUCAACGAAGUAGUUCGGUUAUUCUCUUCAUCUGUCCGAAUGGCUAUAGAAAUGGAUAAGGCCACGUCACAGGUGCAUUAUCGAUGAAAUAUUGAUAAGCCAAGUGAAUCGAUGCAGACUGAGGGGUAGCGGUACCACCUUGUGCGUACACUUGCGGAUCACAGCCAACAGCCGGAGCAACAUGAGACAAAUGCACAAAUUGUAUACAAGAUAAAAAUUAUCGCCUGUGCUUAGCUGAAACAAAACCGCGGAAAUCGUUGUCCGAACCGCAUAAGAGCAUUGUGGUGGAGGG